AGAUUUGGUUGUAGAACGCAACCAAAUAAAAAUAAAGAAAGUUCAAUUGAA
Molecule: non-coding RNA, 51 nt
Filed under: unclassified sequences
Description: 6A RNA
Rfam family: 6A RNA
About the family: Actinobacteria (1 example), Firmicutes, Fusobacteria.
Source: Rfam by way of RNAcentral